GACGAACGCUGGCGGCGUGCCUAAUACAUGCAAGUCGAGCGGAUGAAAGAGGAGCUUGCUCCUCUAGAUUCAGCGGCGGACGGGUGAGUAACACGUGGGCAACCUGCCCUGUAGAUUGGGAUAACUCCGGGAAACCGGGGCUAAUACCGAAUAAUCCUCCGGACCUCAUGGUCCGAUGUUGAAAGACGGUUUCGGCUGUCACUACAGGAUGGGCCCGCGGCGCAUUAGCUAGUUGGUGAGGUAACGGCUCACCAAGGCCACGAUGCGUAGCCGACCUGAGAGGGUGAUCGGCCACACUGGGACUGAGACACGGCCCAGACUCCUACGGGAGGCAGCAGUAGGGAAUCUUCCACAAUGGACGAAAGUCUGAUGGAGCAACGCCGCGUGAGUGAAGAAGGUUCUCGGAUCGUAAAACUCUGUUGUGAGGGAAGAACAAGUACCGGAGUAACUGCCGGUGCCUUGACGGUACCUCAUUAGAAAGCCACGGCUAACUACGUGCCAGCAGCCGCCGUAA
RNAcentral lists this ribosomal RNA (514 nucleotides) under uncultured bacterium. RNAcentral's name for it is "partial 16S ribosomal RNA". It matches the Rfam family "Bacterial small subunit ribosomal RNA", at positions 28 to 523 of the family's 1533-position model. The record is from RNAcentral.